CGCAUGGGGUCUCUCACAGCGGCCCCUGCCCAAGGACAGAUGGACUGACCCACAGGCAUCCACAAGUGGUGCUGAAGAAGCCGUGAAGAAAGGGGGAGGUGGGAAGGGCCUCGUCCAGGGUGUCUGGCUGCACAGGAGACAUAGCAGCUCCCACUGGCACCCUGCAUACAAGGGAAAGCCCUGGAAAUGCGCUCACCAAAGCCUCAGAGUUUUAUUAUCAGGAGCUCACAUUCAGGAGCAGGUCUGCUUGUCAAGAAUCCAAGCACGCCUGUGUUCUGUGGCCACAGGAGAGGAGGGGCCGCUUUUAAAUACAAGCCUACUCCUGUCGUUGGACCAGAACAAAGACCUACUGGCCAGAAGCACAUGAGAGGUGAGAGUCGCCCUUCUGCCUUGUUCGGCAUCGUGUGUGUGCACCUGUGUGUGUGUGUCUGUGCAACUGUGCAUGUGUGCACAUGUGUAGCACACCUAUGCAUGUACAUGUGCCUGUGUCGGUGUCCAUGUAUAUGCCUUGCAUGUGUGUGCUUGUGCACAUGCAGGAGUGUAUGUGUGUGCCGUGUGAGUGCCUGUGUACAUGUGCAAGAGUGGGCUCAGGUGUAUCCACAUGUUCAUGGUAUACCUCGGCCGGUCCUAGACCUAGUAUCAGACUCUGCUGCUCCUCACUGGCAUAAAGGCAGACCCUGAACUGGGCAUGGGGACACAGAUGGGUAACACACAAACCACAGGGCCCUGAUCCGGGGGAUGCUGGCCAAGCCACGGGCAGUGCAAUGCAGUAUGGCAAAGGAAGGUUUCCUGUCCACAGUGCCCCUCAAGGCAGGGCCCCCCAGGAGCCCACUGGCCAGGCCCAGAGGUGGGGUUAGCUCUGCAGUGUGAACUCAUAGGUUCUGGUCUCCCAGUGGGAGAGGUCCUUGUCCAUCAUGCUACGCUCAGUGAAGGUCACGUGGCCGUCCGCAUCUACCAGGAUGAUAGUGUUGGUUCUGAAAGAGAG
RNAcentral lists this long non-coding RNA (985 nucleotides) under Pan troglodytes (chimpanzee). RNAcentral's name for it is "long non-coding RNA NONPTRT009697". The record is from RNAcentral. Lineage: Eukaryota; Metazoa; Chordata; Mammalia; Primates; Hominidae.